This is a long non-coding RNA of Melospiza melodia melodia, 8722 nucleotides long. RefSeq lists it as uncharacterized. The record is from RefSeq and is a predicted model, not a curated record. The transcript is spliced from 6 exons. NCBI's taxonomy places the organism in Eukaryota, Metazoa, Chordata, Aves, Passeriformes, Passerellidae.
CUGCGAUGCGCUGCGGCCGCGGGCGCGCAGGGAUGGAGUUGUGCCGGUGCCGGGCGGCGGGGGCGAGUGAGGACUAAUCCCAUCCCUGGGCCUGCUCUCUGUUCCCUUCCUGCAUUAGAGAUUGGCUAUAAGGAGAAGGCUGACGGCUGCAGCAUGAAGCGCAUUAUUACCUUGUGAUUCCAUGACCCUCCUCUAUGCAUCCCUAACUCUCGAAAGCUGAUUCAGCUUUCAGCUAGUGCUCUGGUGAGUCCUCUGCUGCAACAGAAGCUCCUAACUGAUGGUUGUGUCUGUGGCUCCCAAGGUCUGAGCCCAGUCUCUCUGCCAUGGGCUGUGCUGGGAUGAGCACCUGCCUCCACCUCGUUCCUUCUGGCAUCUCCCUUCUCCAGUGCCCAGCCCUACACAGGGGCUGGAUACAAAGUCCCCAGAGGCAUGUGCUAUGUUUUGGGGGCUGCUUAUCUGUGGGGGUAGUGUCUCGCUCCCAGUGACCAGCAGAGGAAAAAUCAUUGGAUUCACUAGAUUUGGCCCUAAACACUCUGAUGGAUUAAAGAAGAUGGAGAGGGCUAUUUUCAAGAGUGGGAAUAGGCACAUCCUCAGGCACUGAGUCUGGCCAUGGCCAAAUCUAGACAACUGCUGUGGGUUGGCUUUCUCCAACAUGAACAAUUCUGAUCCUAUGAGUCUAUGGCUCUGGGAUUCUGGGAUUCUGUGUUAUGGGCUCAACACAGCUUGUCCUGAGCUGGAUUCAAGCCAGCACAACCUUGGAGCACACAGCAAAGGGAGAAGAUGAGGAGGUGAGAGGAAACCUUCAGAUCUCCAGCCACAAGCAAAACUCUUCCUCUAUCCUGGCUUGACAUCAACAAAACCUCUGGAAAACUUCUGGGGACCAAAAGGCAAGUGAGAUUCUCCCCUAGAUGUGUUGUUUCCAUGGAAGCCAAGUAAAAGCACUUCUGUGGGCCUGGGGAAAGGAGGCAGCAGCUGGAGCUGGACAUGGGAAGGGACUGCCAGGAGAAAUUGUGACUUUGGAGGCUGUCAGAGCAGACUGGGACAGAUUGUUCCUUGAGUCACCCUGCAUCCACUGCCAUGGUGACCCUGGAACCUGUGCUGUGACUGGCAGGGCCUGGGCUGAGGUUUUGCCCUCUACCGAGCCAGCAGUUUGGGCUGGUGACCCUUCUGGAAGGAGGGAACUUGUAGUGGAUGAGCAGGAAGAGCCACUGGGGAGUGUGAAGAAGCACAGAAAAAACCUUCCAGCAUCCAUUCCUACCCCUUGCCCAAGUAAGGAAUGAAGCUGUGGAGGAAAGAGCUGCUGAACACACCGUCAGAAGGGAGGAGAACAUUAAUUGGUUGAACAGCAGAGUCUGAGCAAUAUGAAAAACUAGGAACGACUAAUUUAUGAGUACAGAUUCUUUCUGGAGAGUGUGACUUAAACUUGGGGAGAAAAUCCAUGUGCCUGGAAUACUAAAAUCAAUAGUUUUAACCUAUUUAGAAAGAAUUGAGUGGGCAAAGAAGGCACAGGAGGGUUAAUCAAUAUCAGAAUUGACAUUGCUGCAUUCCAAGCACCACAAGAAACUGAAGAGAAAGUGACCUCAAAUACAAAUAAAAACCAAAAUAAGGAGUUUCUCCAGACCACCAACACUCACUAGAAAACAGGGGCUACUCACUUCUUAGUCACAUACCUGUAAUAUUUAAGAAAAUUUCCCUGUGCUGUCCUGGGGAAUUUCAACUCAAAUGAUGUGAGCUGCAGAGGUCACAGGGCUGGUUUGGGAUUUUCUGAAUAUCCUAGAAGAGAUUUUCCUAACCAAAACCAGGAGGAUCCUCGACAGGAUCAUCCCGACAGCUGCAGGACUGCUUACAGACCCCAAAACUGAAUACAGCCAGCACAGAGGUGACCCUGUUUGAUUGUACAUGCUGGGCACAGACAGGACUGCCUGAGCUGACAGUGGGUCCCUGAGCUUUUCAGUGUUGUGAGCCAGGUCACCUGCAGGAUUCUAAACAGAAAAUGUGAGUGGUAUUUGGCAACUCCUUGUUUAAAGAAGCUCUGGCCUCUAGGAAAUCUAGUAAAACCUCAGAGUCAGGAAAGAGAAGGUUAUUCUGGCUGAAAAAUGAAGCUCAAAGGACAGUGAAAGUAGGUAAACUCCCAGAAAGAAGGAAGGGAAGGUAAAUAAUAAUGAACAUAAAUCAGCCCCAAGCAGAAGGCUGUCAGGUGAAACCUGUGGCUAGCAGAGCUGAGGGCAACAGGGAUGUGCUCUUUAGAUAUAAGAGACUCAAAGUAGUUGUCUAGACAGAAUAGCAGACAUUAAAAAGAGAAUACAUAAAAGGCAGAUGCUAAAUAUUUAAUUUCACUAUUUUGGGGGGGAAAAAAAGCUGAGUGAAAUAGCCAUGUAAUAUGAUGAUGUGGAAUAUCUUCUGCUCCAACUCAGGAUGUUAAACAGCUGUUACUACAGCGAGAGGAUUUUUAUUUUUGAUCAGCAGCUCCCAAUAUUCAGUGCCUGAGAGUUUUAAAAUCUGUCCCAGGAGCGCCCCAGGCUGGCACAGAGUUUUCCAGAAGACUGAAGCAGUGUUGACUUUGAGCCAAGGAAUAAAUGUCGAUGAGGAGGAUGACUUGCGUAAUUAUAAAUCUGAUUGUUUGAUGUUGAUUUUGCGGGGAAAAAAAAAAUAAUGGAAGAGCUGAUAAGGGACUUGAUUAAUAACAAUUUAAGGAGAAUAACUAAUUACAAUCAACAUGAGUUAAUGGAAAAUAGAUCUUAUUAAAUGAAAUUGAUAUAAUUUUUCAAGAAUGUGAUUAUAGAUUUGAUUGAUUUAGUACAUUUCAUCAACACUGUUACGUUUGACUUCAGCGAGGCAUUUAACUUAAUGUUGUCUCAUUUAUUAGGAAGCUAAAACAAUGUAAAAUCAACACAGCCCGUGCUAAACGGAUGAGGACCCUGGUGAUAGGUUUAGACAUAUCUGAGGAGCAUCCCAAGCAGCCUCCUUUCUGUUCAUCGCUUUUAGCAAACGGUAGAAAAUCAAAACUCAUUACAGUCAAAGUUUGCUGAUGAGAUUUGGAGUGUGGAUGGGUCCGUGCCUUAGAGCUGCUCCUGAACCAGAGGGAAGUGAGCUGCAGCUGGUUUGACACAAAGCCACACUUCCAGGAGCCAGGAUUUCACUGCAGAGAGCACAGAUCCUCCCACACAGCGCUGGAAACUUGAUAAAACAGCGGAGUGAAAUAUCUCUGGUGCAACAGCUAAUGGGACAGUGCAGCUAUUUGUGGUGCCUGCGACUCCAGAAGGAUGGUGAUGAACGGGAGAGGGCACACGGGAAUGACUGAGGCGUCACAAAACAUGCCUUGCAGUGACAGCCUCAAGGACCCCAAUGUGCUUAGCUUAACAAAGGGAAGGCUAAGAGAUGGCUUAAUGACAAUCCAGAUGUAUUCAGACAGGGUACAGGGAUGCAGGGAGGGAGAGCCCUUCAAUCUCACAGACAGAGCCAUAAAAAGAGCUGGUGACUGGAAGCUGAUGCUGUUAAAUUCCAUCUGGGAAGGGUGUGCUUUAUGUUUGGGAGAAAUAACACCAGAACAACUUCCCAACAGAUGGUUUCAUCAUCACUGGCCAUUUCAAACUCAUGCUGGUUUUUUUCCUUUUUUUUUUUUUGUAAGCCAUAUCCUGGAUCCACCAAAAAUCACUGUGAAACAACACACAGGCACUCACACUGCAUGAAUGGGAUGGGCCUUUUUAGGGGUUUUAACCUUCCUAAUAAUGAGUAUUUAAGCCAUCAUCAAGCACUCAAGCACUAAAUGCAACCAUUCCCUUUCCCCAGAGUUAUUGGUCUGGCCUUGGUGGGUACUCAUGCAGACACCUCAGGGCUAUUGGUGCUUCAUCUUUGCCACUGCAGAAGCUGGAAAAGUCCUCUAAAACCCCAUAAAACGAGCCCAGCCUACAUCCCCCUGCUAUAAAAAUACCCCAAAAUGCAGUGCCAAAUGCAGUGCCAGAGGGAGCAGCUCAAAGCUCAAAGUACAUAAGGAACGUGCAUUCCAGUGGUUCAGUAAAAUCCUGCUGAUCCCCAUCUGCUGCCAUAGCCUGAUGGGCUUUUAAGGAAAUGGCCCAUCCCUGUCCCUUAAGAGUUGCUAAAAUUGUGAGUGGAAAAGGUGCAGUUUCAUAACAGACUCAUCUACACCCAGGAAAACACAGAAUGAGAGAGUGCUGCAAUCUUGGGGACUUUCUGCAAGAGUUCCAUCACAUCUCUGCUCUGGUUUGGAAGCUGCUGAAAUUUCCCCUUCCAUGGAAAAUACUCAGCAGAAGUCCCAGCUACAGAUCCCUCAGUGAGGAAACUCCAGGAGCCACACAUGGACUUCUCCUGGGACUGGUCUGAAAGACCCAGCUGAUAUUUUACUGUGCAUCCAGAUGUCCCUGGGGACCAGACAGAAUCAAUCCAGGUGUAAACUGGGACGCUGGGACCUUGUCUCUUCCCUUCUGCCCACAUCAAGGAGCAUCUGGGACCAUAUCUGUGGGUCCUGAGCUGUGCUGGAUUUACCUCUGGCAUGAUCCAAGCCAUUGCUGCUGUCCCCACCAGCUGCCACCUCUCUGCUGCUGUCACCACAGCUGAUAAUCCAGGUUAUCAGUGAGUGGGGAGGGGGCAGCACUGCAGGACAUGUCCUACCCUAACCCCCUCCCCACACACACCCCUUUGUGCCUCCUGCUCAGGGCAGAGAACAUCACCCAGAAACUUCUUCAGUAGUUUCAAUUCAGUCUGCCAGAGCCCUUUGCUCCUAAUGCCAUUUAAUCCAGCUCCUUGUUAGCCAGCCAAUAAGACUUUCACUGAUAUCAGGUUUUGGCCCAAGAACAGUGCAGAUCCUUUUGAACUGAACAUCUUAAGCACAACAUAUUUUGUCAGGAAAAAAAGCCUGAACCAGCAGAAACUCUUUUAAAGCCAGGGCAGCAUCAUUACCAUAGAGGCAAACACUAAUUUAAUGUGGUUCACAGUAACAACACACCAUUUAUUUAAAUACUUCACCCUUUAAUUUAUUCAGCAUUUUAUAUUGAAGAGUAUUUUCAUUAGGAUUCCUCUGCAAAACCGAAGAAGGCAUUAAAUCAUUUAAUAUACUGACAACUCGCUUAAUUUAUUUAAGCACAGGAGUCUAAUUCAAAAAAAGCCAGACCUUAUACAGAGGCCUGUCUUUGCAGCCCUGGCAUACAAGAGCCUAUUAAUUUCAGGGUAGUGCAUUACAUGAAUUUAUUUUGAGAUCCCAGGACGUGUUCUCCUCUGGUCAGCAGCCUGCUGUGGGGCUGCACCUGCCAGAGCUGCCUUUAGGAAUUCCUCCCAGUGCACACCAGUCCUGCCCCAUGGCCUUUGCUUCUGGUGAGCACCCAGCCCUUUGCAUUUGUCACCUGGCUGGGUUUGGUCCUUGGUGUGACACAGAGCGACCAGCACGGCUGGAGCAGCAGGGAAACAGAGGAAAUCAGCAACACUGGGGGCAUCAGUGAUGUCUUCGGUUUAAAUCUCAUUAAAUGGCACUCAGAGCACUUGGUAAAGUCUGGGGGAUCCACUGCAGUGCACCCCUGACUUGGCUGAUACUGAAUUAAGCAGACACACUCAUUUCUGUGGUGAGACCCCUGCAUCCCUGCUCUGAAGGUGCUGAGCAGCCUCAGGACUGUCCCCAGUUGUCACAUCAGAGCUCUCACACCCUGCCUGAAGCAAAUACUCCACUUGAUAUUCUGGGGGCUCAGCUCCUUGGGCAAUCCAGCCCUUGUGGCUUAUUACUGAUGUCCCCAGAUGUGCCAUAACAAAUGGCAGAGAAGAAAAUUGUCACCUGUGACAAAGCUCUGGGUGAUAUUGGGGUCCCCAGUGGCUCCUGGCUUGGCUGCUUUCCGAGAUUGGUGCUGAAGCAGAACCUGGCAAACAAUAGCACAUUCUCAAUAGGAUGCAGAGGGUGACAUUAAUAAACAUUAGGGGGUUUGAUAUGAUCAGGCAAAAGCAGCACAACGAAAUGAGGUACCAAAAGCAGGCUGGAGAGGAGGGGAAGGCACCUGAACAGGGUGUUUAAUGACUCACCCAGCUGAGAAAUGCAGCGCAGGGCAAGGCUGGGAGAGAGAACCUUUUAAUGAAUUCAACAUGUGUGCACCCUUUGAAGGCUCAGCUCCCCAUUCCCCAGUGGUGUUUGACCCACCUGAAGAUAUGGAUCGCACAGAAAAUAAUAACCAGUAAGUAAUAAUAAUAAUAGUAAUAAUAGGAAGAGCAGGACCUUCAUCUCCAAUUCAUAUUUAUAAUCCAGCAAAUAUCUCACCUAAAGCCACAAGAUUUAUGGGUUUGCAUCUAUAACUAAUAUCCUUCCUUAAGCAGGAAAGGGUACUUUUUCCUACAAAUAAAUCUGGUGCUCUAGACCUGGAUUUUGAAGACUAAUAUUUAAAUCCCCAGCAAGACACAGUUAUUGAUUGCAUAGAUGUAUACAACAAAGACACACCAUGCACAUUUAGAGAGAUAGCAUUGUACAGCUAUUUUAAAAAGAAAUAAAAGUUUCUCUUUUAAAUGCAAUAGAUUAAGCUUAAUCAGGUAAAAAAAGGAGGAAGAUGGGGAGGUUGGCUUGGUGUCUGCUCCAAGCUGUCCCAAUUUCCCAGAGAUUUCAUUUGCAUCAGGCCCUGGCUAAAAGCAGGGCUGGUCCUGGGCGCCAACACACAUAAAGUGCUUUGAGACAAAGGUAAUCGAUUUGGUUUUACUGUUAUGAGGAAAAUAAACAGUCAGGCUGAUAUAACAGUAAAAGGGUCAAACAGGGUCAGGGCUAAUGAAGUGACUUACGGCAGGUUGGAAUUAAAGCACCCUUCCUUUUCUCCAUCUUCCCCUCCAGGAGUGAUCCCUGUGAAUGCCCAAAAUCACACCUGUGGGUGACAGCAAAGCACCAGCUAAGGGUCAUUUGGGGCUGGGCACUGGACUUGCUUUGGCUGAAGGUUUCCAUGGCCAGCAGCACCUGCUGAGCUAUGGAAAACUCCAACCAAGAAAAGCGCUGCCCUUCAGCUCCACAUCAUGGACCACAGCCACUGCACUCAAUCAGGGAGGCUCAAAGGUGCCCAGAAUCAUCACUCCAGAGCUGAACUGGCACUUUCACUGGUGGUUGGAGGGUCCCUUUUUCCUCAGGGGUUUCUUUUCACUUUUGUGAGUUGUAACGAGCAAAGUGGGAACGUGCUGGGUAGGGAGCCAAACCUAGGAAAAUACAGCUUCUCUGGAGCAAGCAUGGAUAUAGCUGAAAAAAUAUCGAGAAUUACUGGAAAUUUAAAUGUAGGCACUCAACCAAGGUCAAGGGUGGAAGCAUCACCUCACUUAGUGGUGAACUUAGCAACAGAGGUAAAACACUGCUGCUGUUCUGUAUCUAAAGAGUAAAGACAUGAACAGAGCCCAGACACUUGUAUUUAUACUGUCCUAAGGCAUAUAACACCCCCAUUUAAUGAAGAUUUUAGUUAGUCAUGUUUAAAUACUAUUAAUAAAAAAAUUUAAAAAUGCUUUUAUGCACUCAGUCAUUUAAGGAACUCAUCAGUGACUGCAUGUGAAAGACUCAUUCAAACCUCAUGAGAAAAGAGUUUCUUGUCUCCAGAUUAUGGGCUCCCAGAAGGGAGAUUAUGCCCAGGGGAAGGAAGGAAUUGGCAAUAACACUUGGGUGGUGCCGCAGAGGUGGUGAGCCCCCAGGCUGGCUGGCUGCACCUUCCUUUGGGGAGUCAGCUCCAUCACCCAUGGAUUGGAGAUAGUCCUUCCCCCAAAUGUUACAUUCAAGUGUCACAAAGCCUCUGUGGAAGAAGGGAAAACAAAAAGCAAAAGAAACCUUCUGGUGAGCAUCGUGCUGCUCCAAAACCUGGUGACCAUGGAGAAGCUUUCCCUACAGACAUGCUGUCCAACGCACACCCUUGUGAUUUUUAUCUCCGUGCAGAACAUGGGCUGUGGGUGCCCAGACACUGCUCUUCUCUGCAGCUCUGAAAAGGAAAAGAAAUUCAUGGCUGUUGCUCUGCAAGGCCUGUCCCAGAACUCUGCAAGUACCAGUAGCACAGAGGCUUGGGAAGCUGCAACCACUGUGGGGUACUCAGCCAAGGCAGAGCUUUUGUGCAACUUGGUUUUCAUGAUUUAGCAUUCCUGCUGUAAAUAAUUGAUACUAAUGUAAGUGAGAUAAGAGACAGACUGUCUGUGGGCUGGGAGGAAGUGGAUCCUGGUGACAUCCACCAGGAAAUGUGCUCGCGGAUUUGUCUGAAAUAAAAACGUUGAAAAGGCAAACAUGAUGUCCGAGCGGUGGGGAGGGAGCAGGGGUGGGAAAGGUAAUCAGUGAUCAGCCCCAGCAUUCUCAUCUCUCUAAAGAAAAAGCUACCACUAAUAAUUUCCUUAAUAAGAGAAUUCCUGCACUAGCUAGCACUUCCUCUCUCCCUGAACAUGGCUCUCUCACUAGUCCAUAAGCUGUGUUCCUGCAUUGCCAGGGAGCUGGGUGGGUGUUAGCACAAUUUAAGGAAUUAAAAUGUCAUUAAGGGGGUGCAUGGAGCACAGCCUUCCUCGUCGGACACCAUGCCAGCAGGAAAAUGCCAGUGAGCUCAGCGUAUCUGAUGCCUUUGGCUUAGGUUAUCUACAACCAGCUGAGUACCAGGAAGGAGCUCUCCUGAAUCUCAGGCUCUGAAACUGGAGAAGGCAGAAUUAUAUCUCUGGUCCUGCGCGGGCGGCCGUGAGACGGGCGAUGGAGACAAUCCUGCUGGGUGGGGAAGGGGAGAUUUCCCUGCUGGGAACCUUG